RNAcentral lists this ribosomal RNA (497 nucleotides) under uncultured bacterium. Its description in RNAcentral is "partial 16S ribosomal RNA". It matches the Rfam family "Bacterial small subunit ribosomal RNA", at positions 28 to 507 of the family's 1533-position model. The record is from RNAcentral.
GAUGAACGCUGGCGGCGUGCCUAAUACAUGCAAGUCGAGCGAACAGAUAAGGAGCUUGCUCCUUUGACGUUAGCGGCGGACGGGUGAGUAACACGUGGGUAACCUACCUAUAAGACAGGGAUAACUUCGGGAAACCGGAGCUAAUACCGGAUAACAUUUGGAACCGCAUGGUUCUAAAGUGAAAGAUGGUUUUGCUAUCACUUAUAGAUGGACCCGCGCCGUAUUAGCUAGUUGGUAAGGUAACGGCUUACCAAGGCGACGAUACGUAGCCGACCUGAGAGGAUGAUCAGCCACACUGGAACUGAGACACGGUCCAGACUCCUACGGGAGGCAGCAGUAGGGAAUCUUCCGCAAUGGGCGAAAGCCUGACGGAGCAACGCCGCGUGAGUGAUGAAGGGUUUCGGCUCGUAAAACUCUGUUAUUAGGGAAGAACAAACGUGUAAGUAACUGGGCACGUCUUGACGGUACCUAAUCAGAAAGCCACGGCUAACUACGUG